UGUUGAGUGCUUGUUUACUUUAGUAGAGCAGGCUGUAAGCUAUGGUUCCUCUAGGGCUGUUUUACACAAAGUUCAGCUUUCCCAGCCAUAGAAACAACUACUAGGACAGGACAAAGAGCAGAAUUAAGUUAUUGCCCAUUUUAGUUCCACCCAAAUUCUUGAGAGGGAUCAGACAAUAAGGCAGCAAAGUUCAAGACAAAUCCUUUAGCAACAGUAGAAGUCCUGCUAAGGAUAUCCUGUGUUUGAAAGAUAAUUCCAGUUAAAAUGUUUCAAACCAUUCAUAUAUUUAUAAAUUAAUGCUAUAAUAAUGAAAAUAGUUACUCUUUUUUUUUUUUUCCCCACUUACCAUAUGUUUUACAGACAUAACUUUAUAUUAGUCAUUUAGUAUAGAGGCAUCUAAACAGUAAGUGAAACAGCUACCUUAUUUUACAGAUUUCUUUGUUUUCUAAGUGGCAUUAUGAAAUUAAAAAAAAAAUAAGUAAGAAAGAAAGAAAGAAAAAAGCAACACCCAACAACGCACCUUUAAUAGAUAGCUUAUUAGCUUCAUCUGCUUGAUAAGACGAAAAAGGACAGGUGAGAGAAAUGAGUUCAGCUGUGCCUUGUUUGGAAAAGAAGGGAUUGGAUGUUGCAGCCUUCAUUGAGAAGAGGUGGCUUCUUAAGACAAAUGUUUGGUUAUUAUAAAAAGGUAGUGUUGCUUACUGAAGGAAGGUUGGAGAUUUUGUUGGGUUUUAAUUGCAUCAUUUUUUUAUUUUUUUUCUUUGUAUGGGUGCUAAAGCUGCUUAUGCAUGCAUCAUACCUAUCACAUUCCACUGUCUCUAAAAGCUGGGACAGGGCUGUUUGAAGUAGCAGCAUUGCAGAGAAGUAAGGAUUAUUUGCUGAGUCAUCCUAAGAUCUGGUGUGAGGACUUUCUUAAGGACUUGGAAAAACUUUGGCAGACUGCUUCUGUGGAGAUGUGGGGGAUGCGACCCAGCGUCAGAGACGCUGGAUGCUAGCCAAGGCACAGCACAUCUUGCACUUGUUCCCUCUAGAAGGGUAAGAUGAUUAUACUUAAAAAUAAUGAAGCAAGUCCUGGCAUUAGGUCUCUUUGGAAGCUGAUAGCUGUCAUUUGUCAUUCCAGGGCCAUGUCUGGUAGGAUGGGGCUGCCCAGGGG
Molecule: long non-coding RNA, 1150 nt
Filed under: Anas platyrhynchos platyrhynchos (common mallard)
Lineage: Eukaryota; Metazoa; Chordata; Aves; Anseriformes; Anatidae
Description: lncRNA (ENSAPLG00000024583.1)
Source: RNAcentral